GCCUGUCUAGCUCAGUUGGUAGAGUGCAAGACUCUUAACCUUGUGGUUAUGGGAUCGAACCCCAUGGUGGGUG
This is a non-coding RNA of Cucurbita maxima (winter squash), 73 nucleotides long. NCBI's taxonomy places the organism in Eukaryota, Viridiplantae, Streptophyta, Magnoliopsida, Cucurbitales, Cucurbitaceae. The record is from the annotation of a RefSeq genome assembly.